ACUAUUUUGACAGAAUAAUGUAAUAAAUUUAGAAUUUAUUUAUGUAUAUUAAAUUAAUAUACAAUUAGUA
Molecule: transfer RNA, 70 nt
Filed under: Diprion wenshanicus
Lineage: Eukaryota; Metazoa; Arthropoda; Insecta; Hymenoptera; Diprionidae
Description: tRNA-Leu
Source: RNAcentral